RNAcentral lists this ribosomal RNA (465 nucleotides) under uncultured bacterium. RNAcentral's name for it is "partial 16S ribosomal RNA". It matches the Rfam family "Bacterial small subunit ribosomal RNA", at positions 28 to 507 of the family's 1533-position model. The record is from RNAcentral.
GACGAACGCUGGCGGCGUGCUUAACACAUGCAAGUCGAACGGAAGGGCCCUGCUUUCAGGGUACUCGAGUGGCGAACGGGUGAGUAACACGUGGGUGGUCUGCCCUGCACUUCGGGUUAAGCCUGUGCAACUGGGUCUAAUACCGGCUAGGAGCCAUUUUUAGUGUGAUGGUUGGAAAGUUUUUUCCGUUUAGGAUGAGCUCGCGGCCUAUCAGCUUGUUGGUGGGGUAAUGUCCUACCAAGGCGGCUACGGGUAGCCGGCCUGAGAGGGUGAACGGCCACCCUGGGACUGAGAGACGGCCCAGACUCCUACGGGAGGCAGCAGUGGGGAAGACUGAACGAUGGGCGCAAGCCUGAUGCAGCGACGCCGCGUGGGGGAUGACGGCCUUCGGGUUGUAAACUCCUUUCGCUAGGGACGAAGCUUUUUGUGACGGUACCUAGAGAAGAAGCACCGGCUAACUACGUG